Molecule: long non-coding RNA, 1738 nt
Filed under: Citrus x clementina
Lineage: Eukaryota; Viridiplantae; Streptophyta; Magnoliopsida; Sapindales; Rutaceae
Description: Citrus clementina (C. clementina) long non-coding RNA (CCLE_LNC001898)
Source: RNAcentral
CAAUUUUUUUUCAUAGCAACUGCAAGUUAAAAAUUAGAGACCUAAACUCCAAACGUACCCUAAGGAACUGUUAAAAAAAUAAAUUAAAACUAGAAACAAAAGGCCAAAUUCCUCAAUUUCAAACUCCAAUCCCUAAUUCCGUUAAACAAAAACCGUGAAGCAAAUGAGAGAGAAACAACGACACACCACACACACACACUCCACUAGUCACAGCCUCACGCCUAACAAUCGCCGAUAAUUACAGCCAUCACCAAUUCAUCGUCCGGUCACCCACCCAAUAAUUGCAUGCAGCACACGCAGCCACGCGAAUUUUGUUCUCGAUCCAGCACGCAAUCACCGAUUCGGCUCCAUUCUAAGGUUGUCGUCCAGCCAGUCACAGCUCGUCGUCUCAACCGUUGCUGUCGUCUUAGCUCAUCACCAGCCGUUGCUGACUUCUUGUUGCACCAGUGAGUUACGUCCAUUGAUGACUUUUUUUAUUGUUCUUUAUUUUUUUCCUUAAUCCUUAUUUUUUCCUUAAUUAUUUUUUUUUGUGAGUUGGGAUUACUAGAUUAGGAUUUAAUACUUUAAUUUUUGCAGCAACUUUUUAAUUUUUUUGUGAGAUGCUAGCUGUUAAUUUUCGCCUCAUCUGUUGCCUGUUGACUGUUAAUUUUUAUUGUUAGUGUAUUUGGGGAAAAUUCCAAUGACGAUUGCUUAAUUUUGUAUGGAUUUAUUAACAAAUAAAUUAAGUUUCUGUUUCUGUUUUCAUUUUUGGCCAACCUCGAACUUUUUAUUGAACAAUUCAUGUCAUUGUUAUAUUGUUAUUAGCUUAGGGAAUGGGAAUAUGGGAUUGAUUUACUUUUUAUUUAAUUUUGUUGGUGUUCUAAUGAAUGAAAAUUACUAUUUAUGUUAACAUUUUUUUUCUACAGGUGCAGUUCCUAAAGAUGACGAGGAUUUGAAGGAUGAGGAAAAAGAUGCCCUCAAAUAUUAGAUUAGUAUGUUUUCGAUAUUAGUAUUAUUGAGUAAUGAUACAUCCACAAACUCUUGUACAAAUUUAUUUUGUACAAACUGACGUGGCAUUAAUUGAUUGGUUGAAUGAAAAUAUAAAUUAAUAAAAACAAAUCAUGUGGGCCAAGUGAUAUUUAAUUCAACCAAUCUUAUCAUGUCACAUCAGUUUGUACAAAAUAAGUUUGUACAAGAGUUUGUGGCUGUAUUAUUACUCUUUAUUAUUUAUUAUGUUAUCUUGUUAUUAUUUUGUGUGGGAAACUAUUAUUGUAUAAUGUAAUAGGUUAUUAUUAUGUUAUGUAUUGGAUAAUUAUUUUUAAUUAAAAAAUUAUUUUAAAAUUAUUAAAAGUCUAGGUUCGGCUCAGGUCUAGCCCAAGCUCGUUGAGGCUGAGGCUGAGGCUUAGCCCAACCCGUCCAAACUUAGAUGCGCUUUUGGAGAGCUUGGGCUUUUAAUAACAAUAUGGGUUUGUGCUUAAAAAAGUUCGGCCUAAGUCGGUAUUUUGUAAAUCAUAUUUGAGAUUGAAUAACUUUAAUAGUGCGUUUAUUUCAUGAGAAUGAGAAUGAGAAUUAAGUAGAAUGAGAAUGAACUGGAAUGAAAAUGAAGAAUGUGAAUGAAAUUUUAAUAUUUACAUGGCAAAAAUAAAUGGGAAUGGAAAUAUGUCGGAAUGCUAUUGAUGUGUUUACUUUGUAAAAUAAAUAGAAAUAAGGAAUGAGAAUGAGAAUUAAUUUAUCAAAAUACUCAUAAUAUUAAUAAUUA